Molecule: ribosomal RNA, 546 nt
Filed under: uncultured bacterium
Lineage: Bacteria
Description: bacterial SSU rRNA
Rfam family: Bacterial small subunit ribosomal RNA
Source: RNAcentral
UGAAUAAUAUUGCAGCAAUGGGGGCAACCCUGACGCAGCCAUGCCGGAUGAAAGAAGAAGGCCUUCGGGUUGUAAAGUUCUUUCGGUAGCGAGGAAGGCAUUUAGUUUAAUNGACUAGGUGAUCGACGUUAACUACAGAAGAAGCACCGGCUAACUCCGUGCCAGCAGCCGCGGUAAUACGGAGGGUGCGAGCGUUAAUCGGAAUAACUGGGAGUAAAGGGCACGCAGGCGGUGAAUUAAGUGAGGUGUGAAAGCCCCGUCUUAACCUGGGAAUUGCAUUUCAUAGGGGGUCGCUAGAGUACUUUAGGGAGGGGUAGAAUUACACGUGUAGCGGUGAAAUGCGUAGAGAUGUGGAGGAAUACCGAAGGAGAAGGCAGCCCCUUGGGAAUGUACUGACGCUCANUGAGAAAGCGUGGGGAGCAAACGGGAUUAGAUACCGUGGUAGUACACGCUGUAAAAGAUCUCGAUUUGGGGGGUGAGCUUUAAGCUUGGCGCCCGUAGCUAACGUGAUAAAUCGACCGCCUGGGGAGUACGGCCGCAAGGUUA